This 47-nucleotide transfer RNA is filed under the name Avahi occidentalis. RNAcentral describes it as "tRNA-Leu". Lineage: Eukaryota; Metazoa; Chordata; Mammalia; Primates; Indriidae. The record is from RNAcentral.
ACUUUUAAAGGAUAGAAGCUAUCCGCUGGUCUUAGGAACCAGAAAAU